Small nucleolar RNA from Amyelois transitella, 133 nucleotides. RefSeq annotates it as small nucleolar RNA psi18S-841/snoR66. The transcript has a single exon. NCBI's taxonomy places the organism in Eukaryota, Metazoa, Arthropoda, Insecta, Lepidoptera, Pyralidae. The record is from RefSeq and is a predicted model, not a curated record.
UGCAAAGGCACUCUGUGUUAUUCUUUUUUAAUGGAAUAAUUACAAUUUGUUACUUUGCUAAAAAAAAGUCUGUCAAAUCCUAUUCCUGAUAGCCUGCAAAAUGGUCAUUUGGUCAUAGUGACAGACACACUAC